This 525-nucleotide ribosomal RNA is filed under the name uncultured bacterium. RNAcentral's name for it is "partial 16S ribosomal RNA". It matches the Rfam family "Bacterial small subunit ribosomal RNA", at positions 355 to 898 of the family's 1533-position model. The record is from RNAcentral.
UGGGGAAUAUUGGACAAUGGGGGCAACCCUGAUCCAGCAAUGCCGCGUGUGUGAAGAAGGUCUUCGGAUUGUAAAGCACUUUCGACGGGGACGAUGAUGACGGUACCCGUAGAAGAAGCCCCGGCUAACUUCGUGCCAGCAGCCGCGGUAAUACGAAGGGGGCUAGCGUUGCUCGGAAUGACUGGGCGUAAAGGGCGUGUAGGCGGUUUACACAGUCAGAUGUGAAAUCCCCGGGCUUAACCUGGGAGCUGCAUUUGAUACGUGUAGACUAGAGUGUGAGAGAGGGUUGUGGAAUUCCCAGUGUAGAGGUGAAAUUCGUAGAUAUUGGGAAGAGCACCGGUGGCGAAGGCGGCAACCUGGCUCAUGACUGACGCUGAGGCGCGAAAGCGUGGGGAGCAAACAGGAUUAGAUACCCUGGUAGUCCACGCUGUAAACGAUGUGUGCUAGAUGUUGGGUAACUUUGUUAUUCAGUGUCGCAGUUAACGCGUUAAGCACACCGCCUGGGGAUACGGCCGCAAGGUUGAA